Molecule: ribosomal RNA, 378 nt
Filed under: uncultured cyanobacterium
Lineage: Bacteria; Bacillati; Cyanobacteriota
Description: bacterial SSU rRNA
Rfam family: Bacterial small subunit ribosomal RNA
Source: RNAcentral
GUUUGAUCCUGGCUCAGGAUGAACGCUGGCGGUAUGCUUAACACAUGCAAGUCGAACGGGGUCAGAAAUGAUUCAGUGGCGGACGGGUGAGUAACGCGUGAGAAUCUGGCUUCAGGUUCGGGACAACCACUGGAAACGGUGGCUAAUACCGGAUAUGCCGAGAGGUGAAAGAUAUAUUGCCUGAAGAUGAGCUCGCGUCUGAUUAGCUAGUUGGUAGGGUAAUGGCCUACCAAGGCGGCGAUCGGUAACUGGUCUGAGAGGAUGACCAGUCACACUGGGACUGAGACACGGCCCAGACUCCUACGGGAGGCAGCAGUGGGGAAUUUUCCGCAAUGGGCGAAAGCCUGACGGAGCAAUACCGCGUGGGGGAUGAAGGCU